UGGACCCACCAGUGACAAUGGGCAUAUAUUAUGGAGAUGUGUCUGGAACUCUGAGGUCCAA
RNAcentral lists this small nucleolar RNA (61 nucleotides) under Panthera pardus (leopard). RNAcentral describes it as "Small nucleolar RNA SNORD113/SNORD114 family (ENSPPRG00000015750.1)". The record is from RNAcentral. Lineage: Eukaryota; Metazoa; Chordata; Mammalia; Carnivora; Felidae.